This 440-nucleotide ribosomal RNA is filed under the name uncultured bacterium. RNAcentral describes it as "partial 16S ribosomal RNA". It matches the Rfam family "Bacterial small subunit ribosomal RNA", at positions 338 to 795 of the family's 1533-position model. The record is from RNAcentral.
CCUACGGGUGGCAGCAGUGGGGAAUAUUGCACAAUGGGGGAGACCCUGAUGCAGCGACGCCGCGUGAGUGAAGAAGGAUUUCGGUAUGUUAAGCUCUAUCAGCAGGGAAGAAAAUGACGGUACCUGAUUAAGAAGCCCCGUCUAACUACGUGCCAGCAGCCGCGGGAAUACGUAGGGGGCAAGCGUUAUCCGGAUUUACUGGGUGUAAAGGGAGCGUAGACGGAAGCACAAGUCUGGAGUGAAAUGCCGGGGAUUAACCGCGGAACUGCUGUGGAAACUGUGCAGCUAGAGUGCAGGAGAGGUAAGUGGAAUGCUUGGUGUAGCGGUGAAAUGCGUAGAUAUUAGGAGGAACACCAGGGGCGAAGGCAGUUUACUGGACUGUAACUGACGUUGAGGCUCGAAAGCGUGGGGAUCAAACAGGAUUAGAUACCCUAGUAGUC